This 67-nucleotide transfer RNA is filed under the name Ursus arctos (brown bear). RNAcentral's name for it is "tRNA-Trp". Lineage: Eukaryota; Metazoa; Chordata; Mammalia; Carnivora; Ursidae. The record is from RNAcentral.
AGAGAUUUAGGCUAAAAAGACCAAGGGCCUUCAAAGCCCUAAGCAAGUGAAAUUCACUUAGUCUCUG